RNAcentral lists this ribosomal RNA (636 nucleotides) under Streptomyces sp. E118. RNAcentral's name for it is "bacterial SSU rRNA". It matches the Rfam family "Bacterial small subunit ribosomal RNA", at positions 29 to 682 of the family's 1533-position model. Lineage: Bacteria; Bacillati; Actinomycetota; Actinomycetes; Kitasatosporales; Streptomycetaceae. The record is from RNAcentral.
GCGAACGCUGGCGGCGUGCUUAACACAUGCAAGUCGAACGAUGAAGCCCUUCGGGGUGGAUUAGUGGCGAACGGGUGAGUAACACGUGGGCAAUCUGCCCUUCACUCUGGGACAAGCCCUGGAAACGGGGUCUAAUACCGGAUAACACUCUGUCCCGCAUGGGACGGGGUUAAAAGCUCCGGCGGUGAAGGAUGAGCCCGCGGCCUAUCAGCUUGUUGGUGGGGUAAUGGCCUACCAAGGCGACGACGGGUAGCCGGCCUGAGAGGGCGACCGGCCACACUGGGACUGAGACACGGCCCAGACUCCUACGGGAGGCAGCAGUGGGGAAUAUUGCACAAUGGGCGAAAGCCUGAUGCAGCGACGCCGCGUGAGGGAUGACGGCCUUCGGGUUGUAAACCUCUUUCAGCAGGGAAGAAGCGAAAGUGACGGUACCUGCAGAAGAAGCGCCGGCUAACUACGUGCCAGCAGCCGCGGUAAUACGUAGGGCGCAAGCGUUGUCCGGAAUUAUUGGGCGUAAAGAGCUCGUAGGCGGCUUGUCACGUCGGAUGUGAAAGCCCGGGGCUUAACCCCGGGUCUGCAUUCGAUACGGGCUAGCUAGAGUGUGGUAGGGGAGAUCGGAAUUCCUGGUGUAGCGGU